Arachis ipaensis is the source of this 2588-nucleotide non-coding RNA. The record is from RefSeq and is a predicted model, not a curated record. Lineage: Eukaryota; Viridiplantae; Streptophyta; Magnoliopsida; Fabales; Fabaceae.
ACUAUAAAGUUAGAACAUUGCUAUAAUAAGAUACGUAAAAUAAAACUGUUUUCAGAGUACAAUGAUCGUUGUUUGCCUUAUGUAUCUUUUCAAAUCCUUCUUAAAAGAGAAAUCCGUUAAUUCUUCAAAAUCCAAAACCUUUUUCUUUUGUAUCAAAUAUUAAAAGUUUUCCUAAAUAGUAUGAAUGACCAAGUUGUUCCAAGUAUAGGUUCAUUAAGUCUAACCAGUUUGAUUUUCAUACUUUACUAAACCAAAAACACAAACCAAUCACAGCCUCCGGCCCAUCACAUAAUCAAUCAUGGCCCUAGACCCAAACAACUCCAUCAAUAUCAAUUCACUACAAUCUAAUCAAUUUCAGCCACAGACACAAGUAAGAAGGUUCAAACAAAAUCAAAGCAAUUACAUCAAGUAUAGCAAUUAGCAGUUAAACAUAAUUAUUCACAUAUGCAAACCAAUUACACUUUGCACACCCAAACAAUGUCACAUAUAUGCAUAUGAUGAAUGUUUAUCCUAUUGGCUCGUGAUAUUACUUGUCGGUCCAUAGAUGCCAACCUGACACAUCCUUUCGGAUGUAGCUUUUCUGCCACGCCAAGGAUAUAGUUGCCUACACACUAUUGACCCGUGGAUAUAGUGUCUGACACACUCGCAUGCAUAACCCAAGGAUAUAGUGUCUGACACACUCUUGCGACAGAAAAGGUUAUCUAUCAAAAUUCAACCAAAGGAUAUAGUGUCCUGCAUACUAUCGUUCCAAGGAUAUAGUGCGUGACACACUUUUAAUAUCCAACAAGUCCAUCGUCCCUUUCCAAGUUCCAAAACUCAUCAUCAAUUUCCAAUUUCUCAAAUCAAUUUUCUUUAAAACCAAAAGCCCAUUUCUUUGGUAAUAUUUUCGAAACUCCAAACAACUUCAAAAUCAUAUCAAUUGUAAAUCUCUUCCAAAAGUCAUCAAAAUCAUUCAUUUUAAAUCAAGAUUUGGUAAUAAAAAUUCAUAACAGAGUCUCAAAAUUUUAGGAGAAAACAACCUAUCUCAAUUCCUUAAAAUUUAUUGAAAACCCUUAUAAUUAUAGCUUCUUGGUUUGAGUAAAUAAAAAUAGAAUUUAAUUUAAAAUCGAAUCAUAUAAAUCACAAGUCCCAAACCCAAUUCAAAACCAAAUCACUUAAAAUGAAACCAAUCUGUUUAAAUCAAAAUCACUUUCAGGUUCACUCUUAAAACCAAUUCUCUGACUUCUUCCAAUACGUCACAAACGGAAUUAUUCAAUCAAAAUCCAAUUUUCUUUAAAUAAUUUAAUUCAAAACAUAAUUCAUUUUUUUUUUAAAUAAUUCAAGUAAAAUAAUAUAAUUCUUAAAUUCUCAAUUUUUUAAAUAACAGUUCAAACAAAGUCUCAGAUUUUAUAGAAAUUUUGGCAACACCUCUCCUAAAACUUAGACUUUGCCACCCUUUUCGAGUCACAACCAAGUCCUUCCACAACCCUUUUCAACGGGUUCAAGGCCAAAUCAGUUCAUAAUCAAGCCGAUUCCAAUAAUUUAUAUCAUCCUCAUAUCUCAAAAAAACCGAUUCAAAAUCAGAUCAUUUUCAACGAAUCAAACACAUUUCCAAAAACUUCAAAGAAACAAUUCAGCAACGGUCUGUUUAACAAAACCAAACAGAAAUUCGAAUCAAACAAGCAAUCAUAUUCAUCCAAUACAGCCAAACAAUACAUAAAACUUAUACAAUCACUGAAAAGUGUAUUUUUCACGCCAGUAUCUAUUUAUAACAAUUCCAAAUUAUAAAAUUGAGUUUUUUUAUAAAAAUCCCUACAUCGACAAGUCCAAACUAUAAACCAAAUGCGUCAACAGAACUCUUUUCUCUCAGUUCAAAACCGUAAACCAAAACCGUAACCUCAGUCCCUAACCACUCUCGCAGCAACCACAGCAACUUAAAUGCGACAUGCAACAACCAGAACUCAAACCUACGUUACCAAAUCUCAGAGGCUUUAAUCAAAUAUAAUAGAAUACUAACACAUGGAUUUUCGAAACAAAUACUUACCGUAAUAAGAAAACGAAACAGCGGCUGUCGCUGAACCGAUUUGGCGGUAGCCCCGGCAGUCACCUCAAGCGGCAGCGGCGACCAGAACUUCGGCGACAGCGAUUGUAACAACAUGUAGUGACGAUAAGGUUCCCGUCUUCCCGAAAACUCAAAAGAAUGUAAACCAAACUCAAAAUCCUUACCGGUGGUGGAUCUCAGCGGCUGCAGCGGUCUUUUUCGGCGGCAGAGGCUCAGCCACGGUGGCGAUAUAAAUGGCGAGGAACAGCGACAAAGACGCGGUGGUUCCAGGCCCGCGACCCUCUCUCUCACUCGCGAGCCUUCUCUCCUCGCGGCUCUGCUCUCGACGGCGCAGGCGACGCGAUGGUGGCGACGAGCUGGAGCACGAACGGCGGCGGCUAUGGCAGCGGUCUCCCUCCUCCACCGGCACUCCCUCUCUCUUGCCCGGAUCUCCUCUCUUCUCGGUCAGCAGCGGUGGCGACGGUGACAGUGACGCCCACCGCGGCGCCUUCCCUUCUCCCCCCUCUCCUUCCUUCCUUGGUCCCCUUCCCGCUUCCCUUUCUGCUUU